GUUUGAUCCUGGCUCAGAUUGAACGCUGGCGGCAUGCCUAACACAUGCAAGUCGAACGAGGUACUUCGGUACCUAGUGGCGGACGGGUGAGUAACGCGUAGGAAUCUACCUUAAGGUGGGGGACAACCUGGGGAAACCCAGGCUAAUACCGCAUACGCUCGUGAGAGGAAAGCGGGGGACCUUCGGGCCUCGCGCCGAAAGAAGAGCCUACGUCCGAUUAGCUGGUUGGCAGGGUAAAAGCCUACCAAGGCGACGAUCGGUAGCUGGUCUGAGAGGAUGAUCAGCCACACUGGGACUGAGGCACGGCCCAGACUCCUACGGGAGGCAGCAGUGGGGAAUAUUGGACAAUGGGCGCAAGCCUGAUCCAGCAAUGCCGCGUGGGUGAAGACGGCCUGCGGGUUGUAAAGCCUUAGGUGGGGAAGAACGGUGGUGUGCGAACAGUGCGCCGCCUUGACGUUACCCACGGAAU
Molecule: ribosomal RNA, 469 nt
Filed under: uncultured bacterium
Lineage: Bacteria
Description: bacterial SSU rRNA
Rfam family: Bacterial small subunit ribosomal RNA
Source: RNAcentral